AUUAAACGCUGGCGGCAUGCCUUACACAUGCAAGUCGAACGGUAGCGCGGGGCAACCUGGCGACGAGUGGCGAACGGGUGAGUAAAGCAUCGGAACGUGCCCUGGAAUGGGGGAUAACGUAGCGAAAGUUACGCUAAUACCGCAUAUUCUGUGAGCAGGAAAGCAGGGGAUCGCAAGACCUUGCGUUCUGGGAGCGGCCGAUGUCGGAUUAGCUAGUUGGUGGGGUAAAGGCCUACCAAGGCGACGAUCCGUAGCGGGUCUGAGAGGAUGAUCCGCCACACUGGGACUGAGACACGGCCCAGACUCCUACGGGAGGCAGCAGUGGGGAAUUUUGGACAAUGGGCGGAAGCCUGAUCCAGCCAUGCCGCGUGAGUGAAGAAGGCCUCGGUUGG
Molecule: ribosomal RNA, 392 nt
Filed under: uncultured bacterium
Lineage: Bacteria
Description: bacterial SSU rRNA
Rfam family: Bacterial small subunit ribosomal RNA
Source: RNAcentral